Molecule: long non-coding RNA, 379 nt
Organism: Osmerus eperlanus (European smelt)
Lineage: Eukaryota; Metazoa; Chordata; Actinopteri; Osmeriformes; Osmeridae
Exons: 5
Source: RefSeq, a predicted model, not a curated record
GGUGAGAAGGGAGAAGGGGGACCUCGUGGGGAGAGCAGCCUUAAGGGUUUCCAAGGAGACCGAGGUAAACAAGGAGUACAAGGGCCCACUGGAGCACCAGGGAAACAGGGUUCCAGGGGUUCCCCAGGCGACAGAGGGAAGCAGGGCGUCUCAGGACUGAAGGGUCAGCCUGGCAAUAGAGGCUUGUCAGGUCUUCCAGGGCGAUAUGGAACAGGGGGGAGUACAGGACCUGGUGGCGCCAAGGGACGAAAGGGCAUCCAUGGACAAAGGGGGCCUCCAGGAAGUCUAGGCCCUGCAGGUUUAAUAGGCCCUAAAGGACCACGAGGUUCACCUGGAAAGAGGGGUGCAGGUGGUAAAGAUGGAAAUCCAGGGCCAAAGG